RNAcentral lists this long non-coding RNA (1592 nucleotides) under Eucalyptus grandis. RNAcentral's name for it is "long non-coding RNA (EGRA_LNC001606)". The record is from RNAcentral. Lineage: Eukaryota; Viridiplantae; Streptophyta; Magnoliopsida; Myrtales; Myrtaceae.
GAAAUUAAAGCCACCAAAAUUCUCGGGAAUGGGACGUCCCGAGGAAGUGGAGCAGUGGAUAUAUGCGUUUAGCUUAUCAUGGGCUAAUGGCUCUGAGAUUUUGAAUGAAUGUUGGCCAAGUGAUAUCAAGGAGGCUAGUCUUCAUCAAUUUUGCCUUUUUGUUUGGGAAUUUAGAGAACAUUACCGUUAUAAAUAAGUUUAAGAUGUUUUGAUGUGUGCGAAAAUCAACAGAGUGAGGAUGACACCUUUUUCUGUUGAUAUCAAAAGUGUUUGUGGAUCAAAUGUUGGUCAAUAUUAUUAGUUGAUGUAUCAUGUAUGUUCACAGGGCAGAAACCAUGCUUUUCGUAGAGUUAGUAUGAAGAGUUGGUCUUAGAAAUAUAUUAACGGUAUUCCCCUUUUGAUAAUCUCUGGUUGCAUGUUCGAUAAUUUUUCUAGAUCUUGAUAUGUCAUUGAGAGUAAGUACGGGUUGAGAAUGCAAUUAUUAGAGUUGUCAUAAAUAAUGAUCCAUGCUAAGGUCAAGUCAAUUCUUUUAGGAAGAUCAUACAUUCCAUCGAAGAUGUCGGUUGCCACUUGCCAUCAUUUUUCUAUCUUGAAAGUGCCGAUUUCGAAUUGGUUGGCUUAUAAAAUGCAUAUUUGGCAAUUGCCUCUCCCGUGGUGUUCGCAUUGCUUUCUUGGUGUAGCAAUAGACAACCACACUAUUCUCUCAUCCACAUGAAGAGAGGUAUCGGGCAUUAAAUCUACGGAUGGUGAAUGUUUAUGGUUGGUAAGAUUGCUUUAAGACUUGAGUAAAGAUCAUGUCGUAAACCUACGUUGUAUUAACCUUAGCAACCGCUAGUGACUCCCAUAUUCUGUAUAUGAGGCAUAAGCCGUCAUGUCCAUUAAUACUUGUAUCAUUUGAAUUAUUGUGGGGGUCCAUUCCAUGCUUUAUACCUUGUUAAGAAACCUUGCUUAAUGGUUGGCUGAGGUCUAUGAUAUAUGGUGGGUCUGAAGGGGCAAGCAUUGUUGUCUAGAUAUCUAGAAGUAUUAUCAUCUGAGUUAUGUACAUAAAUUCUUAGUGCUAGGCGUUUUGUUUGAUGAGAGUUUGAGUCAUUGACCUUUGGUAACUCAUUUCUUUUAAUAUUUCUAUAACUCAUUGGUUGAAAAAAAAAAAAGCCGUUGUGGUUCAUAAUUUGGAUGUCCUGGUACGUGGUUCUUGCUAUUUAAGGGGGUGUUUUUCUUGAUGGUGGGAAUGCAUUUUGCAUCCUGUAUUUGUGAGUAAGGGUUUAGGAAGUUAUUUUUUUUUUCCUUGGUAGCAUGAGAGCUUCUGAAGCAUUUGCUAAAGAAUUACCUGUAUUGCUGGAUAUUUGUGUUUAUCUAUUAAUGUGUCAUGUUAGAAGACUCUUAUUUAGAAUUUUGUUAUAAACUGACUUGUGAAAAUGUCUCCUCAAUGAGGAUAGAAUUUGCAUAUGUGAAAGGUCUCUUUUGUGUUUGUACGUUCCCUUUGGUAUUUAUGGCUUACAAAUUUAGAACAAGCAUCUGAAUGUCACUGAUUUGAUGAGAUGUGCCUUAUUUUCAGAAGUGGAAUUAUUUUUCUCACUUUUGCCUUAUCUUGG